AGAGGAGGCAUCCAAAGGGAUCGCAUUGAUCCUUUAUUUUUCUUCAUUCACAAUUUUGGAUCAUGCUAUCCCUUCGGAUUUUUCCUU
This is a non-coding RNA of Gossypium hirsutum (cotton), 87 nucleotides long. NCBI's taxonomy places the organism in Eukaryota, Viridiplantae, Streptophyta, Magnoliopsida, Malvales, Malvaceae. The record is from Rfam.